Molecule: ribosomal RNA, 255 nt
Filed under: uncultured bacterium
Lineage: Bacteria
Description: partial 16S ribosomal RNA
Rfam family: Bacterial small subunit ribosomal RNA
Source: RNAcentral
CAAACCAAAGCUGGCGACCGGCGCACGGGUGAGUAACACGUAUCCAACCUGCCUCAUACUCGGGGAUAGCCUUUCGGAAGAAAGAUUAAUAUCCGAUAGCAUAUAUUUCCCGCAUGGGUUUUAUAUUAAAGAAAUUCGGUAUGAGAUGGGGAUGCGUUCCAUUAGUUUGUUGGGGGGGUAACGGCCCACCAAGACUACGAUGGAUAGGGGUUCUGAGAGGAAGGUCCCCCACAUUGGAACUGAGACACGGUCCAA